This 345-nucleotide long non-coding RNA is filed under the name Olea europaea subsp. europaea. Lineage: Eukaryota; Viridiplantae; Streptophyta; Magnoliopsida; Lamiales; Oleaceae. The record is from RNAcentral.
UAUAUAUAUAUAUAUAUAUAUAUAUAUAUAUAUAUAUAUAUAUAUAUAUAUAUAUAUAUAUAUAUAUAUAUAUAUAUAAUACAAACAAAACAAAUUAAAUAAAAGAAAUUUACAAAAAAUAAAUAAAGAAUAUAUAAAUAUUAUUUAAUUAAAACUGAAAAAAUUAAGUUUUAUUAUGGAGAGAAACGAAUUAAAAAAAUUUUAAAUUGAAAAAAAAAUAUUUAUAACAUGAACAAAACAAAUUAAAAAAGAAAAAAAUGUGAAAAAAAAAACAAAAAAAAAAUAACCUCCAUCAAUGAUGGAGGUUUUGGAGGGGCCUCCAUCAUGGAUGGAGGUUUUUGGGAA